AGAACGAACGCUGGCGGCAGGCUUAACACAUGCAAGUCGAACGGUUGUAGCAAUACAGCAGUGGCAGACGGGUGAGUAACACGUGGGAACCUUCCUAGGGGUACGGAACAACUCAGGGAAACUUGAGCUAAUACCGUAUACGCCCGUGAGGAGAAAGAUUUAUCGCCCCUAGACGGGCCCGCGUAGGAUUAGGUAGUUGGUGAGGUAACGGCUCACCAAGCCUACGAUCCUUAGCUGAUCUGAGAGGAUGAUCAGCCACACUGGGACUGAGACACGGCCCAGACUCCUACGGGAGGCAGCAGUGGGGAAUCUUGGACAAUGGGCGCAAGCCUGAUCCAGCCAUGCGCGUGAGUGAAGAAGGCCUUCGGGUUGUAAAGCUCUUUUACCAGGGACGAUAAUGACGGUACCUGGAGAAUAAGCCCGGCAAACUUCGUGCCAGCAGCCGC
Molecule: ribosomal RNA, 446 nt
Filed under: uncultured bacterium
Lineage: Bacteria
Description: SSU rRNA
Rfam family: Bacterial small subunit ribosomal RNA
Source: RNAcentral